ACACGACUCUCGGCAACGGAUAUCUCGGCUCUCGCAUCGAUGAAGAACGUAGCGAAAUGCGAUACCUGGUGUGAAUUGCAGAAUCCCGCGAACCAUCGAGUCUUUGAACGCAAGUUGCGCCCGAGGCCUCUCGGCCGAGGGCACGCCUGCCUGGGCGUCACGC
RNAcentral lists this ribosomal RNA (163 nucleotides) under Aira caryophyllea. RNAcentral describes it as "5.8S ribosomal RNA". It matches the Rfam family "5.8S ribosomal RNA". From Rfam's summary of the family: 5.8S ribosomal RNA (5.8S rRNA) is a component of the large subunit of the eukaryotic ribosome. It is transcribed by RNA polymerase I as part of the 45S precursor that also contains 18S and 28S rRNA. The record is from RNAcentral. Lineage: Eukaryota; Viridiplantae; Streptophyta; Magnoliopsida; Poales; Poaceae.